GAACGAAGCACAGUAACGGAAACUCUUCGGAGCGGAAGAGACUGUGACUGAGUGGCGGACGGGUGAGUAACGCGUGGGCAACCUGCCCUGUACAGGGGGACAACAGCUGGAAACGGCUGCUAAUACCGCAUAAGCGCACAGCUUCGCAUGAAGCAGUGUGAAAAGCCUCCGGGCGGUACAGGAUGGGCCCGCGUCUGAUUAGCUGGUUGGCGGGGCAGCGGCCCACCAAGGCGACGAUCAGUAGCCGGCCUGAGAGGGUGGACGGCCACAUUGGGACUGAGACACGGCCCAGACUCCUACGGGAGGCAGCAGUGGGGAAUAUUGCACAAUGGGGGAAACCCUGAUGCAGCGACGCCGCGUGAGCGAAGAAGUAUUUCGGUAUGUAAAGCUCUAUCACCAGGGAAGAAAAUGACGGUACCUGAGUAAGAAGCUCCCGGCUAAAUACAUGCCACCAGCCGCGGUAAUACGUAUGGAGCAAGCGUUAUCCGGAUUUAUUGGGUGUAAAGGGAGCGCAGGCGGCCUUGCAAGUCUGAUGUGAAAUACCGGGGCUCAACCCCGGAGCUGCAUUGGAAACUGUGAGGCUGGAGUGUCGGAGAGGCAGGCGGAAUUCCUAGUGUAGCGGUGAA
Molecule: ribosomal RNA, 626 nt
Filed under: uncultured bacterium
Lineage: Bacteria
Description: bacterial SSU rRNA
Rfam family: Bacterial small subunit ribosomal RNA
Source: RNAcentral